AAAUGUUGAUUCCAGCAUUUCGAGCUAAGCCACUAAGUCACUCUCCCUAACUUUGUCACUGACUUGUGGUAUUCUGAAAACAUUCAGCUCUGAAGAGGUCCAGGAAGUGAUUCGGCCCCUUGGAUGCACUGAGAACACUGAGACUCUCGGAGGCUGUGACACGAGGCCUUUCUCUGGCAAGGUGCCUGGGUUUCCCUGAAGAAAGGAAGCAAAGCUGGAGGAUGGACGGCACCAGCGGCAUUUUCAAGGGUGGAGAUGUAUGGAAACUUCCUGACAUUUCAAGCAACAACAUCGGAAAGGAAAUGGAAUUUUCCUGAAGA
This is a long non-coding RNA of Mus musculus (house mouse), 320 nucleotides long. RefSeq annotates it as predicted gene, 54241. The transcript has 3 exons. NCBI's taxonomy places the organism in Eukaryota, Metazoa, Chordata, Mammalia, Rodentia, Muridae. The record is from RefSeq and is a predicted model, not a curated record.